GACGAACGCUGGCGGCGUGCCUAAUACAUGCAAGUCGAACGCAGUGGGGACGGGUGAGUAACACGUGGGUAACCUCCCAUCAGAUGGGAUAACACUUGGAAACAGGUGCUAAACCGAUACGGAUUGAUGGACCCGCGGUGCAUUAGCUAGUUGGUGAGGUAACGGCUCAGCAAGGCCACGAUGCAGAGCCGACCGGGGAGGGUGGUCGGACACACUGGGACUGAGACACGGCCCAGACCCCUACGGGAGGCGGCAGUAGGGAGUGUUCGGCAAUGGACGAAAGUCUGACCGAGAAAAGCCGCGUGAGUGAAGAAGGUUUUGGGAUCGUAGAACUCUGUUGUUAGAGAAGCGGUAUCUAACCAGAAAGCCACGGCUAACUACGUGCCAGCAGCCGCGGUAAUUC
RNAcentral lists this ribosomal RNA (403 nucleotides) under uncultured bacterium. RNAcentral's name for it is "partial 16S ribosomal RNA". It matches the Rfam family "Bacterial small subunit ribosomal RNA", at positions 28 to 526 of the family's 1533-position model. The record is from RNAcentral.